UUACGCCCAUAUCACGUUGAAACGCCAGUUCCCGUAAGAUCAUCAUAGUUAAGCAACGUUGAGUCUGGUCAGUAUUUAAAUAGGCGAAUGCUUGGGAAUAACAAGUGCUGUAGGC
This is a non-coding RNA of Acanthosepion pharaonis, 115 nucleotides long. The record is from the annotation of a GenBank genome assembly. Lineage: Eukaryota; Metazoa; Mollusca; Cephalopoda; Sepiida; Sepiidae.